GGUGUAGCGUAGCCCGGUAUCGCGCCUGCUUUGGGAGCAGGAGGUCGUAGGUUCGAAUCCUGCCACC
This 67-nucleotide transfer RNA is filed under the name Hymenobacter actinosclerus. RNAcentral's name for it is "tRNA-Pro(tgg)". It matches the Rfam family "tRNA". From Rfam's summary of the family: Transfer RNA (tRNA) molecules are approximately 80 nucleotides in length. Their secondary structure includes four short double-helical elements and three loops (D, anti-codon, and T loops). Further hydrogen bonds mediate the characteristic L-shaped molecular structure. tRNAs have two regions of fundamental functional importance: the anti-codon, which is responsible for specific mRNA codon recognition, and the 3' end, to which the tRNAs corresponding amino acid is attached (by aminoacyl-tRNA synthetases). tRNAs cope with the degeneracy of the genetic code in two manners: having more than one tRNA (with a specific anti-codon) for a particular amino acid; and 'wobble' base-pairing, i.e. permitting non-standard base-pairing at the 3rd anti-codon position. Lineage: Bacteria; Pseudomonadati; Bacteroidota; Cytophagia; Cytophagales; Hymenobacteraceae. RNAcentral also lists the same sequence under 2 other names. The record is from RNAcentral.